This is a long non-coding RNA of Gavia stellata (red-throated loon), 716 nucleotides long. RefSeq lists it as uncharacterized. The record is from RefSeq and is a predicted model, not a curated record. The transcript is spliced from 3 exons. NCBI's taxonomy places the organism in Eukaryota, Metazoa, Chordata, Aves, Gaviiformes, Gaviidae.
GGUCGCUCAGAUGGAAGAAAACAAAGGCAGCGACCGUCCUGCGGUGCAGGGCAGCCACAGAGCUGCCCCUGCGGAGAGGAAAACACAAGCAGGACAUUUAAGACCUGCAUUUUGCUUCAGACCACAUUCCUUCUACUUUCUUGAAAAAUGAGGACCAUGAGGACUCUGCCUCCGUGGACCUGGGUAUGUGCUGUGGACGGAGGAGCCAGGGCAGCAGCAGGGAGGGCUGACCUUGCAGCACAGGGGGAAGCGGCUGCCAGCUCCGGUUUGAUGGCAGUCGGUGUUUGUGUUACAGCUGUAUCUAGAGCUGUACAGACUCUGGCCUUGACACCUUGCAAGCUGCUGUGAAAAUUCUGCAUAAUUGGGUGACUUCAAGACAGGACUAUAUCGUGCCCCAUUCUUGCAUUAGUGACUUGCCAUGUCCCACGCCAGCCUGCUCAGUGAGGUGGCUUUCCCACCCUUGCUGCCUCUGCUCCUGCCCCCUUCCAUGCUGCCCUGAAGCUCCCUCUCAGGGCUGGUGAUCAUUCCCUUUCCCUGGACUCCUAACUCAAACUGCACGUCUUUCUCCUCCUGCCCUGGGCUACCUGCUCCUCAACUUCUGCUUUGGUUUAAAAAUGGUUUAAAAAUAUAUCCAAGUAUAUACAAUGUGUUUGCAACAUCCUUUGAGUCAGAAUAUUGUUUGUUGUUGCAACCUCUCUCCACGUUACCUUCCUCUU